CCAGACACAGCGUGGGAGGGGAAACCGAGACGGAUGAAGUAACUUGUCAAAGGUCACACAGCAGGUUAGUGGAAGAGCCAGACGUAUGGGGCUCAGAAGAGCAGUGCUAAUCCAAUGACCUAACCCCUGGGCAACACUAACUCUAAUACCAGUCCCCUCUGAGGCCUUCCUUCAGGGAUACAAAGCAUCCUGCAGAACCUAAUUUGAAAGCCUUGCCCCGCAGUCUGCACAGACUGCAGCUUUAAUUCACUGCUACUCUAUUUCCUGUUCUGUCGCUGUUCUGAGGUUUCACUAUUAACAUCAAAAUGGAAGGGAAAUUCCCUGCCCCCAGAGUGCUCCCCAUAAAUUUUUUCCGUUGAAACUCACAGACCCAAAUGCCACGCAACAGCAGAGAGGCAAGCGAAAGGAGGAGACCCAGCACGACCAGGCACUGGAGAAAUGGAAGAAGCGUUUUUCCAGCUUUACCAAGAAUUCACACAACUGCAGGAUUUAUGUGCAAAGCAGGCUGAGUUGCUACAGAAGUUGAUUGUGAAGAAGGAACCAAUGACGGACAUGCCAAUUUCGAUGCCAAUCCAGUGCACGGACGACGGGGGAUUAGCACAAUCAGAGAGACUCUUCUUCCAACAGCAGUUACCAAAGGUUCCCAGCUCUAUCCUUUCCAACCCAACAGUUCCUACAUGGCCCAACUCCGCAGUUCUUCGGGACCAGCCACAAGAUGCAGACACGGUUUCUCGUUUUGAUAUUAAGUACCCUCCGAGUGCAGCAAAUGCCAACUUGUUAAGCAGUGCCAAGGGGAAGGCAGAUUUCGCAAUAGCACUUUCCAGCCAGAACCACCACAAACCGCACGUGGGCAAGAAGGCGGCUUGUGACACGCUGUUGAAAAAUUAUACGAUGUUUCCUGCUUUGAAAGCGGACAAGGAACAAUCCACAGCCCCUCCCAUACCUCCAGAGCUUGCUACCUUAAAUCCGGAGGAUGUAGGCUCUUUUCCCAGUUUCUUGGAUCUUUAUGAAGCACCACAAGAUUUACAGACGGAAAGUACUUCCCUUCAAGCAGCAGAAAUUAAAGUUCCUAUAGAAAUACGAGGACCCACACAGCCUCUUCCAAAGGACUUCAUCCAAAGCCUUUUGAAAAAUAGAUGAUUUGGGCCAUCUAGGACUUCCUGGACUCCAGGAUGGGCGGUAGAAGACAGUCCACUUGGUCACAGCGGGAAUUUUGAACUCCAAGGGUACUCUGCAUACACAGACCUGUGAGUUUUGCCAAGUCAUUUUCCCAGCUGGGGAAGCAGCACAAGGAGACUAUGACAAGCAUCUCAUAGCUCAUAUCGAAUAGGAUUGGUAUCAUCAUGUACUUGUAACCCGCUUACAGAGGAUGGCUUUCCGUCCCCUUUAGUGGCUGGACAACAUAAGGGUUAUGAGCCUGCUAUAGAACUGUUGGAAUAAGUGACUUCUUGACUCAGUGGCUGAAUAAAAACAUUGUGAAAAAACA
RNAcentral lists this long non-coding RNA (1486 nucleotides) under Chrysemys picta bellii (western painted turtle). Its description in RNAcentral is "lncRNA (ENSCPBG00000018165.1)". The record is from RNAcentral. Lineage: Eukaryota; Metazoa; Chordata; Testudines; Emydidae.